AGUCGGUAACUUACCGACAUCUGUAAAUGUUUAGGUAAGGUAAAACAAUGGUUCUGGUAAUAGUACCACAAAUGAUAAUUUAUUAAUGGUAACUGUUACCGGCAUGAGUUAUGCUAUCAAACGCUUAUUUCGCGGCUUAAGGCUUUUUCCUUUGUUCACGGUUCUAUUUUGACUCUAUACUUCAUGGCUACCAAAGGUUGCUACUUUGUUCAACAAGAGAACGGAAUUUCUCAACCAAUCAGAAACUUAGGGCGGUAUUCAUAGUCCCAACUUAAAUCUGAACUUAAGAUUGACUUGAUUAAGUCUUACUUAUAAGCAAAGUCGAGCUUAUUUACAUGAUGAAUUCAUAGUUCUCAAAUAAGUCAAACUCUAUGAAGAAGCCAGUGAUGAAGUUCGACUUAUUAACAUCAAGCUUAACUUAAAGAUCAAUAUAACAACUUAAAAAACUUUGAGCAAAUAUGAAAACAGGCCAAAGAAAUAUUUUAACAAAAGAACGUCAAGCAAAAUUAGGUACUGGAGGUGGCCCAGAGCAAAAAUUGCCUGAGCUAGAUCCUGAUAUUGCUCUUAUUACACCACAUUUGUUAGAAACAGCACCAACACAGUUUUCAUGCGAUGAUUCAUAAGCUGAAAUACAUAAUAAGAGACGACUUAUUCGCAACAAUUCAGAAAUAAUAUUUGAUAUUGUGAAAAAUGGGAAAGAGGCAGAACAACAAAAAAUAGAAACAAACACAACAGAGGAUUAUACUGUUAUUGAAGUUUCAGAUGAAGAAGCUACAUUUCAGAUAGCUAAACGAUCCAUAAACGAUGUCAAUUCAAUGGAGACGAAGAAACAAGAUGCUGCACUUUUAAAUACAUAAACAUGUGAAAUGCAGGAGAAAUCUAACGCUCCUCCAUCAGAAAAAAACUUUUACAUCAAUUUCUACGUCAUCUAUGAUCCAGAAGAAAAAAGCAAAACCCAAAGAUAUUUAUGAUGUUAAGAAUCAAUCUGUGGAAAUAAACUCUGAACAGGAACUCAAAAUUCAACGUCUUAAACAAAUAAUGGAGCAAGAAAAAGAACUAUUAGAAAUAAAAUUAAAAAGAAAAAAUAACUUAUUAGCUCACGAAUUUUGUGUUCAAGAAUUAACAGUGGAACAUAUGAAGCAACUGCAUAAAUUUCAGUUGUGCGAAGCUCAAGCAAAAUAUGAACUAAGUGAGUUGCUAUUAAAUAAAGAAACAGAAAUUGAUAAAAUACAAGAUGAUUAAUGAUUCUCAUUUUCAAAUAUAUUAUGUAAUGAAACUUUUAAAAAACUAUAUUACAAAAAAAACUAAAAGUUCUACCAA
This is a long non-coding RNA of Pseudomyrmex gracilis, 1320 nucleotides long. RefSeq lists it as uncharacterized. The record is from RefSeq and is a predicted model, not a curated record. The transcript has 5 exons. NCBI's taxonomy places the organism in Eukaryota, Metazoa, Arthropoda, Insecta, Hymenoptera, Formicidae.